This 577-nucleotide ribosomal RNA is filed under the name Saccharomyces cerevisiae (brewer's yeast). RNAcentral's name for it is "eukaryotic LSU rRNA". It matches the Rfam family "Eukaryotic large subunit ribosomal RNA", at positions 47 to 637 of the family's 3401-position model. Lineage: Eukaryota; Fungi; Ascomycota; Saccharomycetes; Saccharomycetales; Saccharomycetaceae. The record is from RNAcentral.
AAAGCGGAGGAAAAGAAACCAACCGGGAUUGCCUUAGUAACGGCGAGUGAAGCGGCAAAAGCUCAAAUUUGAAAUCUGGUACCUUCGGUGCCCGAGUUGUAAUUUGGAGAGGGCAACUUUGGGGCCGUUCCUUGUCUAUGUUCCUUGGAACAGGACGUCAUAGAGGGUGAGAAUCCCGUGUGGCGAGGAGUGCGGUUCUUUGUAAAGUGCCUUCGAAGAGUCGAGUUGUUUGGGAAUGCAGCUCUAAGUGGGUGGUAAAUUCCAUCUAAAGCUAAAUAUUGGCGAGAGACCGAUAGCGAACAAGUACAGUGAUGGAAAGAUGAAAAGAACUUUGAAAAGAGAGUGAAAAAGUACGUGAAAUUGUUGAAAGGGAAGGGCAUUUGAUCAGACAUGGUGUUUUGUGCCCUCUGCUCCUUGUGGGUAGGGGAAUCUCGCAUUUCACUGGGCCAGCAUCAGUUUUGGUGGCAGGAUAAAUCCAUAGGAAUGUAGCUUGCCUCGGUAAGUAUUAUAGCCUGUGGGAAUACUGCCAGCUGGGACUGAGGACUGCGACGUAAGUCAAGGAUGCUGCAAAGCAUGU